Molecule: ribosomal RNA, 501 nt
Filed under: uncultured bacterium
Lineage: Bacteria
Description: partial 16S ribosomal RNA
Rfam family: Bacterial small subunit ribosomal RNA
Source: RNAcentral
AUUGAACGCUGGCGGCAGGCUUAACACAUGCAAGUCGAGCGGAGGUGAGGUGCUUGCACCUUAUCUUAGCGGCGGACGGGUGAGUAACGCUUAGGAAUCUGCCUAUUAGUGGGGGACAACAUUCCGAAAGGAAUGCUAAUACCGCAUACGUCCUACGGGAGAAAGCAGGGGAUCUUCGGACCUUGCGCUAAUAGAUGAGCCUAAGUCGGAUUAGCUAGUUGGUGGGGUAAAGGCCUACCAAGGCGAGGAUCGGUAGCGGGUCUGAGAGGAUGAUCCGCCACACGGGGACUGGAAAACGGCCCAGACUCCUACGGGAGGCAGCAGGGGGGAAUAUUGGACAAUGGGGGGAACCCUGAUCCAGCCAUGCCGCGUGUGUGAAGAAGGCCUUAUGGUUGUAAAGCACUUUAAGCGAGGAGGAGGCUACUGAGACUAAUACUCUUGGAUAGUGGACGUUACUCGCAGAAUAAGCACCGGCUAACUCUGUGCCAGCCGCCGCAGUAA